Molecule: ribosomal RNA, 460 nt
Filed under: uncultured bacterium
Lineage: Bacteria
Description: partial 16S ribosomal RNA
Rfam family: Bacterial small subunit ribosomal RNA
Source: RNAcentral
CCUACGGGAGGCAUCAGUGAGGAAUAUUGGUCAAUGGGCGCGAGCCUGAACCAGCCAAGUAGCGUGAAGGAUGACUGCCCUACGGGUUGUAAACUUCUUUUAUGAAGGAAUAAAGUGAGGCACGUGUGCCUUUUUGUAUGUACUUUAUGAGUAAGGAUCGGCUAACUCCGUGCCAGCAGCCGCGGUAAUACGGAGGAUCCGAGCGUUAUCCGGAUUUAUUGGGUUUAAAGGGAGCGUAGAUGGGUUGUUAAGUCAGUUGUGAAAGUUUGCGGCUCAACCGUAAAAUUGCAAUUGAUACUGGCAGCCUUGAGUACAGUUGAGGUAGGUGGAAUUCGUGGUGUAGCGGUGAAAUGCUUAGAUAUCACGAAGAACUCUGAUUGCGAAGGCAGCUUACUAAACUGCCACUGACAUUGAUGCGCGAAAGUGUGGGUAUCAAACAGGAUUAGAUACCCCAGUAGUC